Molecule: ribosomal RNA, 911 nt
Filed under: Roussoella pseudohysterioides
Lineage: Eukaryota; Fungi; Ascomycota; Dothideomycetes; Pleosporales; Thyridariaceae
Description: SSU rRNA
Rfam family: Eukaryotic small subunit ribosomal RNA
Source: RNAcentral
GAGCUAAUACAUGCAAAAAACCUCGACUUCGGGAGAGGUGUAUUUAUUAGAUAAAAAACCAAUGCCCUUCGGGGCUCCUUGGUGAUUCAUAAUAACUUAACGGAUCGCAUGGCCUUGCGCCGGCGACGGUUCAUUCAAAUUUCUGCCCUAUCAACUUUCGAUGGUAAGGUAUUGGCUUACCAUGGUAUCAACGGGUAACGGAUUUUUAGGGAAAGAUCCCGGAGAGGGGGCCCGAGAAACGGCCACCACAUCCAAGGAAGGCAGCAGGCGCGCAAAUUACCCAAUCCCGACACGGGGAGGUAGUGACAAUAAAUACUGAUACAGGGCUCUUUUGGGUCUUGUAAUCGGAAUGAGUACAAUUUAAAUACCUUAACGAGGAACAAUUGGAGGGCAAGUCUGGUGCCAGCAGCCGCGGUAAUUCCAGCUCCAAUAGCGUAUAUUAAAGUUGUUGCAGUUAAAAAGCUCGUAGUUGAACCUUGGGCCUGGCUGGCCGGUCCGCCUCACCGCGUGUACUGGACCGGCCGGGCCUUUCCUUCUGGAGAACCGCAUGCCCUUCACUGGGUGUGUCGGGGAACCAGGACUUUUACUUUGAGAAAAUUAGAGUGUUCAAAGCAGGCCUUUGCUCGAAUACGUUAGCAUGGAAUAAUAGAAUAGGACGUGCGGUCCUAUUUUGUUGGUUUCUAGAACCGCCGUAAUGAUUAAUAGGGAUAGUCGGGGGCGUCAGUAUUCAAUUGUCAGAGGUGAAAUUCUUGGAUCUAUUGAAGACUAACUACUGCGAAAGCAUUCGCCAAGGAUGUUUUCAUUAAUCAGUGAACGAAAGUUAGGGGAUCGAAGACGAUCAGAUACCGUCGUAGUCUUAACCGUAAACUAUGCCGACUAGGGAUCGGGSGRUGUUUCUAUAUUGACUCGCU